UGCUCACACCAAGCAGGCUUUUCUUGCAAUCAGGAUCAGCCCUAGGAACUGUAAGGUGCAGGUUGCUGCAGUAACAAGGCGUCUAAUUUAGGUUGGGACUCAGGUCCCUCAGGAGUUAGUUACACUGAGCUGACUCCAGAAGCAACAAGUGUUCCUGGCAGAGGAAGGAGCUUAUGCAAAGGUGAUUCCAGAAGCCAGGCACGUGGUGCAUCCCUGUAAUCCCAGCACUCAUGAGGCUGAGACACGAGGAUCAUCUGAGCCCAGCUUGGACUACAUAGUUCGUGGUCAACCUGAACUAAAUUGAGACCCUGUCUUUAAAAAAAAAAGUGAUUCCAGGUCGCACCUGAGACUCUUGGUAGCUGUUGGCACUGGGAGUUGACCCCCCCCCCGACUCAUCAAGAAUUCAUGCUCACCCACUGGGGCACCGGUCUGCCAAGAACGCCACCUGUGGCAUCAUCCCUACUGCCACCUACCCCAUCCUGCCAUGACUUGUAACUAAGCAGCCCCUGGCAGAUCCUCUUGCCAACCUCUAACACUUCCUGUUUCUCACACCUGCUCAAUGACAGAGGCGGACCAGGCUGUCUGCUGGCCAGACAGUGGCGAAGCACAGGCCCAGAUAGGGACACAGCUGGUCAGUCAUGCAGCGAUGCUAAGGGGAAACAGGCCCCACACCAAGCCCCUGCUUCUCUGCUAACUAGGCCUGAUUUGGGGAGGUCUCUCUCUGCCUAACUUCUUGGUUCUAACCUGCUGGGGAGAUCUGGUUCUCCAUUGGAUGGGGUGUGGGAGGGUGGAGGCUAACACCACCCUGCACUAGCGUGUGUGUGUGAAUAGAACAAAAGCAGUAAAAUGACCUCAGUUGGGUUUUGUGGUUUUUUGCAUGGCUGGACUGGCAUUUCCCUUGAUGUUGGCUACAGAGGAAGAAUCGGUCCAGUUAAUCCUAGGAAAAUGACUUGAGACCAGCUCUCCAGGAAGACUAAGAAACUGAGGUCUAGAGAGGAUCGAUGAAGACAAAGGACCUCAACAUUGUCUUCCAGCAAGGCAGUCAGAGAUGAGGUCUGUUUUAUCUUAUUUGGCCCUGGAGAUGGACUCUACCACUGAGCUGCACUGCCAACCCCUGGGAUCUGUUUUGGAGUCAUUUUAAGGUUUGGUCCUAGCAUGAGGACCCCCUGCUAGUUUCUAGUCACUGAUUUGUGACCAAACAUGGCAUCUUCCAGCACCACCACCCACUUUAGUCACAGAAGUUGGCACUACAAGGUGUCUCUGGGAUGCUUCUAAAAAUAAAAUCCACCCAGAGGGCCAGGAUCCGAGAGGGCUGAGGGGAUGCAGAUGCAUUCAGUUCAUCUCCAGCAGAUGUUUAGAGCAGGAAGCUAGAGGCGACAGUAUUCUGACCCUCUGGGUUUAAAGCAGGGAGCUGGCACUCUGGGACAGCAAGUAACUUGAUUGAAGCCACCCAGCCCUGCAGCUAGGCCAGGACUCAGUUGUGUCUCUCCAAAGGCCAAUUCCAGGGAGGAGUCUAAAAUUGUGAGGCAUCUUUUGACUUGCUGUAUUGGUUACUUCUAGCCUGUGAAGCAUUGGUGUGGUUGUACACACCUGUAAUCCCAGAUACUCAGGAGGCUGAGGCAGGAGGAUGGUCAGUUCAAGGCCAGCCUGGGCAAUUUAGCAAGACCUUGUCUCAAAAUAAAAUAAAAAAGGUCGGGAUGUGACCACUGGUAAAGUGCUAGCCUGGCAUGUGUAAGUCCUUGGCUCCAGUCCCCAGGACUGCAAAAAUAAAAUAAAAUUCUGGUGUCCAUUUGCCAUGUUGUUUUGUGCUUUGGGGUGACUGUGGUCCGUGAAGGCUGACGAG
This 1843-nucleotide long non-coding RNA is filed under the name Heterocephalus glaber (naked mole-rat). Its description in RNAcentral is "lncRNA (ENSHGLG00000050413.1)". The record is from RNAcentral. Lineage: Eukaryota; Metazoa; Chordata; Mammalia; Rodentia; Bathyergidae.